GCGGAUAUGGCGGAAUCGGCAGACGCGCUGGCUUCAGGUGCCAGUGGUAGCAAUACCGUGCAAGUUCAAGUCUUGUUAUCCGCA
This 84-nucleotide transfer RNA is filed under the name Lachnospira sp. Its description in RNAcentral is "tRNA-Leu". It matches the Rfam family "tRNA". Rfam says of the family: Transfer RNA (tRNA) molecules are approximately 80 nucleotides in length. Lineage: Bacteria; Bacillati; Bacillota; Clostridia; Lachnospirales; Lachnospiraceae. The record is from RNAcentral.